GAUGCUUCCCCCUGACCUGUCCUCGCAGGUGUGGCCCGGCGGGGGCGGGGACAGGGGAUGCUUCCCCCUGACCUGUCCUCGCAGGUGCGGCCCGGCGGGGGCGGGAGAGAGGAUUCUUCCUCCCCCACCUGUCCUCACAGAUGCAGCCCGAUGGGGCGGGACAGGGGAUGCUUCCCCCUGACCUGCCCUCGCAGGUGCAGGUGCAAAAGGGGCGGGAGAAGGGAUGCUUCUGCGAGGUGCCCCGAAGAAGUAGCGGGUCACCUCGCCGGCAGGCUGGGCGUGCAGCGAGGCCCCGGCAUCCUCCUGCUGAAUCAACACAGUCUGAGCCACCGGGGACAUCAGCCUCCAACAGAGGAAGAACUCUUACAAGGCCACAGUCGUCAUGUCUGAACACACACGAACGUGAGCGUAGCGCAAGCCAGAGAAAUGACCAGACCUCGCUCCGCCCUGCCCAAUACAAGUGACUGCUGCUUCUGGACCUGUUACAGACAGAAAUACUCUGACAGUGCUCACAGGCUCUCCUGUCCUAGCCUUUGGUGCACAGAGCAGCCCACCCCAACCCAGCGUGACCUGACGACUUCUCCAGAGGAGCUCUCCCUAAGGCCUCCAGUGACUUCCCACUAAUGCCAAAUGGAGCUGACCUUUCUAGUCAUCAUCUUCCGUGAAUCCCACCAGUGGACGCCGGUGGCCUCUUUCUCUUCAGCUUGUGAGACACAUCCCUCUCCUGGCUUUCUUCCUGUUCUCUGGCUGUGCCAUCUCUGCCUUCUCCGUGGGUCCAAAGUCCUCUGCCUGGCUACUCGUGGAUGGAAUUCCUUCACACUAGAUCCUGAGUCCUCUCCUCACGCUGUACUCCCUCCCUGGGCAAUCUCCUCCACACUUGGCUUGAAUUACGGUUCACUUGAACAUAGUUCGUUAAUCUAUACUUCCUACCAGCUCAAGAUCAUGUGUCAGAUAAGUACCCAUGUGACAUCUCUUGGACGUCCCAAAAGUGCCUCAGAUUCAACGUGUCCCCCUUGGAACCAUUCUCUCCACGCCCCACCCCUACCCCCUUCAAUCUGAUCUGCUUCUUGGGUUGACACAGCCCUGGGCUCCUAAUCCUACAACCCCUCUAUAGGAGACAGCCUCUGAGUGGCCCCAUGAUCUCCAUCUCCUAGGGUUCAACCAUUGUGUGGUCCCCUUCCCUUGAGUGUGACCAAAGCCCAUGACUUGCUCAGGCCAACAGAGGCCAGCAAAGGUAUCGGGGUGGAUGUGAUUCAUUCAUUCUUUUUUUUUUUAAGAUUUUAUUUAUUUAUUCGUAAGAGACACAGAGAGAGGCAGAGACAUAGGCAGAGGGAGAAGCAGGGAGCCUGAUGCAGGACUCUAUCCCAGGACCUUGGGGAUCACACCCUGAGUCAAAGGCUGACGCUGAACCACUGAGCCACCCAGGUGCCCCUGGAUGUGAUUCUUUCACACAGGAUUGUGACACCCAUUCUGCUCGGGGACCCUCCUUCCCUUGCUGGCUCUGAAGAAGCAAGCUGCCAUGCUGUGCACUGCAGUAUGGAGAGGAAUGUGGUAACUGGAGGAACUGAAGGUGGCUUCCAGGUGACAACCAGCCAGAAACUGAGGCCUUCAAUCCAAGAGCCCUCAAGGAAAUGAAUGCCACUAACAGCUGUCUGAGCUUGGAAGUAGAUCCUUCCUAGUUGAGCCUCCGAUGAGAGCCCAGCCCUGGCCAGCACCUGACUGCAGUCUCGCAGAGGACCCCAUUGUGCCCAGACUCCUGACCCACGGAAACUGGGAUACUAGAUGGAUGUGGCUCUAAGCCACUAAGUUUGUAGUAAUUUGUUAGAGAGCACUAGAUGCCUAAUACACUCUCCAUCACCAAGUCCUAUCA
Long non-coding RNA from Canis lupus familiaris (dog), 1870 nucleotides. RefSeq lists it as uncharacterized. NCBI's taxonomy places the organism in Eukaryota, Metazoa, Chordata, Mammalia, Carnivora, Canidae. The transcript has 2 exons. The record is from RefSeq and is a predicted model, not a curated record.